GUUGAUGUGGUGUAACGGUUAGCACAUCCGUUUUUGCCAAUCAGAAGGUGCGGGUUCAAAUCCCGUCAUCAACUCC
This 76-nucleotide transfer RNA is filed under the name uncultured Actinomycetes bacterium. Its description in RNAcentral is "uncultured actinobacterium tRNA-Ala". It matches the Rfam family "tRNA". From Rfam's summary of the family: Transfer RNA (tRNA) molecules are approximately 80 nucleotides in length. Their secondary structure includes four short double-helical elements and three loops (D, anti-codon, and T loops). RNAcentral also lists the same sequence under 1 other name. Lineage: Bacteria; Bacillati; Actinomycetota; Actinomycetes. The record is from RNAcentral.